Molecule: ribosomal RNA, 292 nt
Filed under: uncultured Delftia sp.
Lineage: Bacteria; Pseudomonadati; Pseudomonadota; Betaproteobacteria; Burkholderiales; Comamonadaceae
Description: partial 16S ribosomal RNA
Rfam family: Bacterial small subunit ribosomal RNA
Source: RNAcentral
GUGUCAGCCGCCGCGGUAAUACGUAGGGUGCGAGCGUUAAUCGGAAUUACUGGGCGUAAAGCGUGCGCAGGCGGCCUGAUAAGUCAGAUGUGAAAUCCCCGGGCUCAACCUGGGAACUGCAUUUGUGACUGCAUGGCUAGAGUACGGUAGAGGGGGAUGGAAUUCCGCGUGUAGCAGUGAAAUGCGUAGAUAUGCGGAGGAACACCGAUGGCGAAGGCAAUCCCCUGGACCUGUACUGACGCUCAUGCACGAAAGCGUGGGGAGCAAACAGGAUUAGAUACCCCGGUAGUCC